This is a long non-coding RNA of Pygocentrus nattereri (red-bellied piranha), 1142 nucleotides long. RefSeq lists it as uncharacterized. The record is from RefSeq and is a predicted model, not a curated record. NCBI's taxonomy places the organism in Eukaryota, Metazoa, Chordata, Actinopteri, Characiformes, Serrasalmidae. The transcript has 4 exons.
UUAAAGAACAAGUACAGUGUCAACCACAUCAAGCCAUAUAGAAGAAGCCAAAAUGAUGACAGGCAAGUCCCCACUCAGGAAUCCCACAAGAUCCCCAAAGAGAAUGAGACCAGGACAUUUUCUGAUGGCUCCAACUCUUUGACCAUGGGAAGGGAUUUGGAAAGCAUAACUAAGGACAUUUCCCUGCCACAGAGACCAUCUGUUAUCCACUUUGCCCCUUAAAAAGACACUCAAGUCUGUGAUGCAACAACAGAGUUCGAAUGCUGUGGGCUGCAGAAGACUGUGGUCGGGUGGAAGCAGUUGUUGGACCAUAUAAAUUGUAUGAUACAUCUUUCCGUACACUGCAUGGGACUGAGUGGCUUGCUGAUGAUGUAAGAGACUAAAUCACACUGUCAAAAUGUAUUACAAGUGAAAGUAUAACAUUCUUUAAUGGUUGUGUAUUUUACAAUGCAGGUUGUCGAUGCGUACUUGCACACUCUCAUUGAAAACCAGCAGGCAAGUGGCAAUUAUAUUUAUGUAGCUGUGUUGUGCAUUUCUUGCAACAUAAAUUAAGUUUCAGUUGUUCUCAACAGAAACCUGUUCACCAGCUCUGUGCCGUUAUUGCAACCUCAUUGUUUUCUGGACAAUUCCAGAGACUCAGAAAGAUGAAGUUUCCACUGGAGGAAAUCUGGAUGUGCCCUGUAAACAUUGGGGCUCACUGGGUUUUAGUGAUUGUCAACAUGUCUGACAAGGUCCUUGUGUUGAUCGAUCCGCUGGCAAAUGAAAGUGCACACGAGCGCAAGAUGCUACGUAACUGGCGGUAAUAACAUUUUAACAUUGCAAUUUUACAGUGCAAAUUUGAGCUUUUUUAUAUGAAAAGAACUGCCAUGAUCUUCUUUUAUAAUUUAUUUUAACAAAAAUUAGGAACUUCUUAAGGAUGACAGGCCAUGGAGACCAGGGGCCUAAAUGGACAGUUCAAACAAUGCUGCACAACAAGCAGCACGAUUCCAGCAGUUGUGGGAUUUUAGUGUUGAGGGCAGUGUAAAGGUCAGAGGUAUCAAAAACUGCAUGAAAGCAGUGCCAUCAAGUUUUAUUUAGUCAAAAUCCAUAGAAAUCCAUAUUCCAUCAUCUGACACAAAGGUAAUGUAACUUACCAUGAAUCU